RNAcentral lists this ribosomal RNA (410 nucleotides) under uncultured bacterium. RNAcentral describes it as "bacterial SSU rRNA". It matches the Rfam family "Bacterial small subunit ribosomal RNA", at positions 370 to 772 of the family's 1533-position model. The record is from RNAcentral.
AAUGGGCGCAAGCCUGAUCCAGCCAUUCCGCGUGCAGGAUGAAGGCCUUCGGGUUGUAAACUGCUUUUGUACGGAACGAAAAGGUCCUGGUUAAUACCUGGGGCUCAUGACGGUACCGUAAGAAUAAGCACCGGCUAACUACGUGCCAGCAGCCGCGGUAAUACGUAGGGUGCAAGCGUUAAUCGGAAUUACUGGGCGUAAAGCGUGCGCAGGCGGUCUUGUAAGACAGAGGUGAAAUCCCCGGGCUCAACCUGGGAACUGCCUUUGUGACUGCAAGGCUGGAGUACGGCAGAGGGGGAUGGAAUUCCGCGUGUAGCAGUGAAAUGCGUAGAUAUGCGGAGGAACACCGAUGGCGAAGGCAAUCCCCUGGGCCUGUACUGACGCUCAUGCACGAAAGCGUGGGGAGCAAA